UUGUCAUUCAUCUAAAACAACCAAAAUUCUUACAUGCAAAUGCCAUCAAAAGGACUUUUCAAAAGCUUGUAAUGAGGCUGGACUAACAAUAAAAAUAGGUUUUUCUGGAAUGCAAAGUCCUUGAGUUAAGAGAGCUACCAUAGUAUUCAAAAUUUAAGCACAACUUUCUUCCUCACUAAUAUCACUUAUUCCCAACUUCUUCCCUUUUCUUUUACAUUGAGCUCACUUUCAUGUUUUUCUUCUUUUCUUUUCUUUUUUUUUUAUCAUGCAUUUUUCUUUCUCAACAUUUGAGCUCAAUGCUUUACAAUUGCUUUUCAAUUUUCCCCCAUACAACCCCAAACUUAAACCUUUUCAACACAUACAGUUAAGUUCAUC
RNAcentral lists this long non-coding RNA (375 nucleotides) under Vigna radiata. RNAcentral's name for it is "long non-coding RNA (VRAD_LNC015668)". Lineage: Eukaryota; Viridiplantae; Streptophyta; Magnoliopsida; Fabales; Fabaceae. The record is from RNAcentral.